RNAcentral lists this ribosomal RNA (800 nucleotides) under Alveonasus lahorensis. RNAcentral's name for it is "SSU rRNA". It matches the Rfam family "Eukaryotic small subunit ribosomal RNA", at positions 106 to 900 of the family's 1831-position model. Lineage: Eukaryota; Metazoa; Arthropoda; Arachnida; Ixodida; Argasidae. The record is from RNAcentral.
UCAGUUAUGGUUCCUUAGAUUGUUUCAUGCUACUUGGAUAACUGUGGCAAUUCUAGAGCUAAUACAUGCGUUGAACUCUGGCGUCUUCGGACAGAAGAGUGCUUUUAUUAGACCAAGAUCAUACGGGUGUCAAAACCCGUGGUGUGUGGUGACUCUGGAUAACUUUCGCUGAUCGCACGGCUACGGCCGGCGACGCUUCUUUCAAGUGUCUGCCUUAUCAACUGUCGAUGGUAGGUUAUGCGCCUACCAUGGUUGUCACGGGUAACGGAGAAUCAGGGUUCGGUUCCGGAGAGGGAGCCUGAGAAAUGGCUACCACAUCCAAGGAAGGCAGCAGGCGCGCAAAUUACCCACUCCCAGCACGGGGAGGUAGUGACGAAAAAUAACAAUACGGGACUCUUUUGAGGCCCCGUAAUUGAAAUGAGUACACUCUAAAUCCUUUAACGAGGAUCAAUUGGAGGGCAAGUCUGGUGCCAGCAGCCGCGGUAAUUCCAGCUCCAAUAGCGUAUGCUAAAGUUGCUGCGGUUAAAAAGCUCGUAGUUGGAUCUCAGUUGCAGGCGGGAAGGGCAUCUAAACGAUGCGGCGUCCCGCGCUGGACAUCAUGCCUACUGUCCCUUGGUCCCCUUCAUUGGGUGCCUCGGGGUGGUCGGUGCAUUUACUUUGAAAAAAUUAGAGUGCUCAACGCAGGCGCAUUGCCUGAAUAACCACGCAUGGAAUAAUAGAAGAAGACCUUGUUUCUGUUCUGUUGGUCUUUGGAAAACGAGGUAAUGAUUAAGAGGGACAGACGGGGGCAUUCGUAUUGC